This is a non-coding RNA of Arachis ipaensis, 168 nucleotides long. Lineage: Eukaryota; Viridiplantae; Streptophyta; Magnoliopsida; Fabales; Fabaceae. The record is from RefSeq and is a predicted model, not a curated record.
UUUAUUAUGAGAACAAUUUUAUUUAGUUAAGAAAAGAAUUAUACUAUUUUGAAUUUGAAUUACCAAGAAAAGGUUUAUGUUCAAGUUUGAAUUAUUUAUAAAAGAAGUUAUGUUUUGAGAUUUAUUCAAUAUGAAGAGAGUUAUGCCUGGGGUUCGAAAUAAAGGAUU